This is a non-coding RNA of Podarcis lilfordi (Lilford's wall lizard), 78 nucleotides long. Lineage: Eukaryota; Metazoa; Chordata; Lepidosauria; Squamata; Lacertidae. The record is from the annotation of a GenBank genome assembly.
GUCCGUGUACUGCUGCAAUAGCUCAGUUGGUAGAGCAUUGGACUCUCAGCGUUGUGGGUUCGAGCCCCAUGUCGGGCA